CUGCACAGCUACGACAGUAAAUUGACUCACUGUACAAGACCUCCCCCCUUCACUCUACUGCAGGGUGGGAGAUGCAACAAUGUCCUUGAGAACAGCAGGAAGUGUGUUGGGGGUCUUUCUCUGGUCUGUAGCAGUGGUACGGGGUCAGGAUGGCUGGAGUGUUACAUACACCACUCAGAGAAUCUGUACCUUGAAGGGGUCAUCAGUGGACCUGGUCUGCUCUUAUACAUAUCCCAGAGGUAAAGUCACAACAACCUUCUGGUUCACUAGAAAUGAUGCUGACAUGAAAUCUGAAAUCAUGUGACUCUGAGUGAUGAACCAGACUACACCGGUCAUGUGACGUACUGUAGCAACAAGAAGAAUGGCCACACCCUGACAAUCAGAGAUCUGAGAGAGUGUGACUCAGCUAUGUGCUGAGUCACAGCUAUGUGCUGAGACACUCUCCACAGAGUGUCCAUCCUGACCCUAACUGUGACACACACACCACUGAAAAUGAGGACCAGACAAUCUGGCAGUAGGUAUGUUAUAACAUAUUCAUAUAUGUGUUUAUUUUGUAUAAAAUAUUUGUGUUUGUGUGUGUGAGUGGGUGACACAGAGAGAUGAACACACAAAGUAGAAGUGAGAGAGAAUGCUAUAGAGCAGUGUGUAAAGUGCUCAUACUGUGUUUCCUUUGUCGCUGUCUCUCUGAGUGUGAAAAUCCCCCACAGUGACACGUUCACAUCUCUUCAGAGAG
Molecule: long non-coding RNA, 733 nt
Organism: Oncorhynchus masou masou (cherry salmon)
Lineage: Eukaryota; Metazoa; Chordata; Actinopteri; Salmoniformes; Salmonidae
Exons: 3
Source: RefSeq, a predicted model, not a curated record